GCCGCACUCAGCUCGGGAGACUUCUGCUCUCUAACAGCAAUUCCAUGUGUGGUGGCUCCUGUACUCCCCACCCCAGCAAAAACCAUGACCGGGAUGAAGGAGUGAAGACCAAGGAUGCUACUCCUCUGCAAUGAACAAUUUUGUUAUGUGAAGGAGAGCUCCAAAGGAGGAAGCUGAGCUGGAGGAUUUACCUGACAAAGGCAGUGGGACUUCAGCGUAAGGACCUAGUGCAGCCCAAGUGAAGGUGAGAGGAGGAAUGGCGGUGUUGCCAUGGAUAUGGGAUUUUUUUUCUCAUGCCCUGCCUUUGCUCUAAGGCCAAACAUUCUUUACACGG
Molecule: long non-coding RNA, 334 nt
Filed under: Struthio camelus australis
Lineage: Eukaryota; Metazoa; Chordata; Aves; Struthioniformes; Struthionidae
Description: lncRNA (ENSSCUG00000004067.1)
Source: RNAcentral